UAAGAAAAUAAUAAACUUAUUAUUCCCGAAAUUAAUUGAUCUAAAAAUUUUUAAAUGUAUUGUUACAAAACUACACAUAAAAAAUUUUUAGUAAUGAAAUGUUUACGAAAUUAAUUUUAUCUGGAUUUUUAAUUUUAUAUUUUAGAUAUAAUAGAUAUUUAUGGAUAAGCAUAAAUAUAACUCAAAGGAAAAUUACAAUAUAUUAUAUAAUUUUAUUAUUCAUUAUUUAAUAAUAAUUUAUUUCUACUUGAAUUUAAAAUUAAAAUUUUAUUUAAUUAUAGCUAAAAUUAUAAUGUAAAAAUUAGUAAAUACUUUAUUAUAAAUAAUAUAAUAAUUAAAUAAAUAAAAGGAAUUCAGCAAAACUAUAUUUCAUCUGUUUAACAAAAACAUUGUUUUUUGUAUAUAUAAAAAAUAUCACCUGCCCAAUGAAAUUUUAAAUGGCCACAGUAUCUUGACUGUGCAAAGGUAGCAUAAUCAUUUGCUUUAUAAAUUAAAGCUUGUAUGAAUGGUAAAUUGAAGUAUAACUGUCUUUUAUUUAUUAAUUAAACUUAUCUUUUCAGUGAAGAGACUGAAACUUUUUUAUAAGACGAGAAGACCCUAUGAGUUUAAUCUAUAAAUUAUUAAAUAGUAAUUUGUAGAUUUGAUUGGGGUAAUUAAAGAAUAUAUCUUCUUUUAUACUAAAAAUAUAAUUAUUUAUGUCCCAUUAGUAAUGAUUAUAAGUUAAAAUUACCUUAGGGAUAACAGCAUAAUCUUUUUUUAGAGUACUUAUCGACAAAAUGGGUUGUGACCUCGAUGUUGGAUUAAGAUAAUUAUUGGGUGAAGAAGCUUAAUAAAUAAGUCUGUUCGACUUUUAAUUUCUUACAUGAUCUGAGUUCAAAUCGGCGUGAGCCAGAUUGGUUUCUAUCUUUAAAAUAUAAUAAUUUUAUAUUAGUACGAAAGGACCAUAUAAAAUAAAUGAUUUUAUCAAUUGGCA
This 973-nucleotide ribosomal RNA is filed under the name Opisthopatus cinctipes. Its description in RNAcentral is "large subunit ribosomal RNA". The stretch from base 585 to 906 matches the Rfam family "Archaeal large subunit ribosomal RNA", at positions 2155 to 2712 of the family's 2987-position model. The record is from RNAcentral. Lineage: Eukaryota; Metazoa; Onychophora; Udeonychophora; Euonychophora; Peripatopsidae.